This 654-nucleotide ribosomal RNA is filed under the name uncultured bacterium. RNAcentral's name for it is "bacterial SSU rRNA". It matches the Rfam family "Bacterial small subunit ribosomal RNA", at positions 744 to 1397 of the family's 1533-position model. The record is from RNAcentral.
CACUGAGGUGCGAAAGCGUGGGUAGCAAACAGGAUUAGAUACCCUGGUAGUCCACGCCGUAAACGAUGUCGACCAGCCGUUGGGUGCCUAGCGCACUUUGUGGCGAAGUUAACGCGAUAAGUCGACCGCCUGGGGAGUACGGCCGCAAGGUUAAAACUCAAAUGAAUUGACGGGGGCCCGCACAAGCGGUGGAGCAUGUGGUUUAAUUCGAUGCAACGCGAAGAACCUUACCUACUCUUGACAUCCUGCGAACUUGUGAGAGAUCACUUGGUGCCUUCGGGAGCGCAGAGACAGGUGCUGCAUGGCUGUCGUCAGCUCGUGUUGUGAAAUGUUGGGUUAAGUCCCGUAACGAGCGCAACCCUUGUCCUUAUUUGCCUGCGGGUAAUGCCGGGAACUCUAAGGAGACUGCCGGUGACAAACCGGAGGAAGGUGGGGACGACGUCAAGUCAUCAUGGCCCUUACGAGUAGGGCUACACACGUGCUACAAUGGCCGGUACAAAGGGUUGCGAGCUCGCGAGAGUCAGCUAAUCCCGAAAAGCCGGUCUCAGUCCGGAUCGGAGUCUGCAACUCGACUCCGUGAAGUCGGAAUCGCUAGUAAUCGUGAAUCAGAAUGUCACGGUGAAUACGUUCCCGGGCCUUGUACACACCGCCCGU